GAUGAACGCUGGCGGCGUGCCUAAUACAUGCAAGUCGAGCGAACGGACGAGAAGCUUGCUUCUCUGAUGUUAGCGGCGGACGGGUGAGUAACACGUGGAUAACCUACCUAUAAGACUGGGAUAACUUCGGGAAACCGGAGCUAAUACCGGCUAAUAUUUUGAACCGCAUGGUUCAAAAGUGAAAGACGGUCUUGCUGUCACUUAUAGAUGGAUCCGCGCUGCAUUAGCUAGUUGGUAAGGUAACGGCUUACCAAGGCAACGACGCAUAGCCGACCUGAGAGGGUGAUCGGCCACACUGGAGCUGAGACACGGUCCAGACUCCUACGGGAGGCAGCAGUAGGGAAUCUUCCGCAAUGGGCGAAAGCCUGACGGAGCAACGCCGCGUGAGUGAUGAAGGUCUUCGGAUCGUGAAACUCUGUUAUUAGGGAAGAACAUAUGUGUAAGUAACUGUGCACAUCUUGACGGUACCUAAUCAGAAAGCCACGGCUAACUACGUG
This 497-nucleotide ribosomal RNA is filed under the name uncultured bacterium. Its description in RNAcentral is "partial 16S ribosomal RNA". It matches the Rfam family "Bacterial small subunit ribosomal RNA", at positions 28 to 507 of the family's 1533-position model. The record is from RNAcentral.